RNAcentral lists this ribosomal RNA (2019 nucleotides) under human gut metagenome. RNAcentral's name for it is "bacterial LSU rRNA". It matches the Rfam family "Bacterial large subunit ribosomal RNA", at positions 114 to 2159 of the family's 2925-position model. The record is from RNAcentral.
CUGAAUGGGGAAACCCGGCUGGACAGACUCCAGUCAUCCAUACGCCAAUCCAUAACGUAUGGAAGGGAACCCGGUGAACUGAAACAUCUAAGUAGCCGGAGGAAGAGAAAGAAAAAUCGAUUUCCAAAGUAGCGGCGAGCGAAAUGGAAAGAGCCCAAACCGGAGUGCGUGCAUUCCGGGGUUCGGACCGCAUAAUUGAUUCAACAAAUUUAGCAGAACGGUUUUGGGAAAGCCGGCCAGAGAGGGUGAAAGCCCCGUAAGCGAAAGACGAGUUGACAUGGCGGGAUCCAGAGUACCACGAGACACGUGGAACCUUGUGGGAAAUCAGGGGGACCACCCCCUAAGGCUAAAUACUACUUAGUGACCGAUAGCGCAUAGUACUGUGAAGGAAAGGUGAAAAGGACCCCGGGAGGGGAGUGAAAGAGAACCUGAAACCCUGUGUUUACAAGCUGUGGAAGCACUUUAUAUGUGCGACCGCGUACUUUUUGUAGAACGGUCCGGCGAGUUACGCUUACUGGCGAGGUUAAGGACUUAAGGUCCGGAGCCGAAGGGAAACCAAGUCUUAACAGGGCGGUUAUAGUCAGUAGGAGUAGACCCGAAACCGGGUGAUCUAUCCAUGUCCAGGUUGAAGCUGCCGUAAGAGGUAGUGGAGGACCGAACCCACAUCCGUUGAAAAGGGUGGGGAUGAGGUGUGGAUAGGGGAGAAAUUCCAAUCGAACCCGGAGAUAGCUGGUUCUCCUCGAAAUAGCUUUAGGGCUAGCCUCGUUUUAGUCUUAUGGAGGUAGAGCACUGAAUUUCCUAGGGGGCGUCAAAGCCUACCGAAGAAUAUCAAACUGCGAAUGGCGGACAGAUGAUGCUGGGGAGUCAGACUGCACGAGAUAAGUUGGGUGGUCAAAAGGGAAAGAGCCCAGACCUACAGCUAAGGUCCCAAAGUGUGUGUUAAGUGGAAAAGGAUGUGGGAUUUCGAAGACAACUAGGAUGUUGGCUCAGAAGCAGCCAUACAUUCAAAGAGUGCGUAAUAGCUCACUAGUCGAGAGGUCCUGCGCCGAAAAUGUCCGGGGCUGAAACACAACACCGAAGCUGUGGAAUCAUACCUAGUAUGAUUGGUAGAGGAGCAUUCUUAAGACCGACGAAGCUGUACCGGUAAGGAGCAGUGGAGGGAUAAGAAGAGAGAAUGCCGGAAUGAGUAGCGAGAGGAAGGUGAGAAUCCUUCCGGCCGAAUAUCUAAGGUUUCCAGAGUAAAGCUGAUCUGCUCUGGGUAAGUCGGGGCCUAAGGAGAGGUCGCAAGACGUAUCCGAUGGACAACAGGUUUAGAUUCCUGUACCACAUAUGGUCAGAACUGUGGGGACGCAGAAGGAAAGCAUGAGCCAGGAAUGGAAAGACUGGUACAAGCAGAGGGGAUGGUGUGCUGGCAAAUCCGCACACGAAAGUCCUUGCUGUGAUGUGGAGCGAACCAAAGUAGCGAAGCAUGCAGACCGGCUGCCGAGAAAAGCCGCUAUUGUGCCAUAUGUGCCCGUACCGUAAACCGACACAGGUGGAUGAGGAGAGAAUCCUAAGGCCGACGGAAGAAGCAUUGUUAAGGAACUCGGCAAAAUGACCCCGUAACUUCGGGAGAAGGGGUGCCUGAGAAAUCAGGCCGCAGAGAAUAGGCUCAAGCAACUGUUUAGCAAAAACACAGGUCUAUGCAAAACCGAAAGGUGAGGUAUAUGGGCUGACGCCUGCCCGGUGCUGGAAGGUUAAGAGGAGAGGUUAGCGCAAGCGAAGCUUUGAAUUUAAGCCCCAGUAAACGGCGGCCGUAACUAUAACGGUCCUAAGGUAGCGAAAUUCCUUGUCGGGUAAGUUCCGACCCGCACGAAAGGCGUAAUGAUUUGGGCACUGUCUCGACAAUGCACCCGGUGAAAUUGAAAUACCAGUGAAGAUGCUGGUUACCUGCGCCAGGACGGAAAGACCCCAUGGAGCUUUACUCCAGUUUGAUACUGGGAUUCGGUACUGUCUGUACAGGAUAGGUGGGAGGCUAGG